Long non-coding RNA from Octopus sinensis (East Asian common octopus), 98 nucleotides. RefSeq lists it as uncharacterized. Lineage: Eukaryota; Metazoa; Mollusca; Cephalopoda; Octopoda; Octopodidae. The transcript has 3 exons. The record is from RefSeq and is a predicted model, not a curated record.
AACCAGAAAAAUAUUGGGUGUCAUCUCCCAAUAUUGAAUAUACAUUCAUCCCAGAGUUUCUAAGUAAUUACAAGAAACUCCAGGUUAAUUUCAACAAU